This 1179-nucleotide long non-coding RNA is filed under the name Medicago truncatula (barrel medic). RNAcentral's name for it is "lncRNA gene8638". Lineage: Eukaryota; Viridiplantae; Streptophyta; Magnoliopsida; Fabales; Fabaceae. The record is from RNAcentral.
UUAGUGCAGCAAAGAAAAUACAGGAUUUGCGAUACUCAAUUAAUUAUACAACAUGUAAGCAUAAAUAACAUGAUGAUUCAACAUCUCAUAAUAUUAUCAACCAUCAUCUCUUAAAUUAGUUAAAGUUCAGUUUUCCAUCCACGAGACCAUCCGAUGACCUUCCCAAAUACACCUCACUCCAUUCUUCCAUUCCAUCCCUUUGACCUUACAUCUCUGGAAUUAGAAAGAAAAAUAUGCAUUUCCUUCAAGGUACCAUCAUCACUAGUCCGUUAUCAUUUUCUCUAGUUUCUCAUGCUGUAAAACAUGGAUCGGAUCUACAAACAUAGCUAGAUACUUUCUCUCCAUAAUAGAUGACUACUGUAGAAUGACUUCGGCAUUCAUGAUGAAACAUAAGAGUGAAGCAUUCUAUUUUUUCAAGGAAUGGAAGAUUCUGGUCGAGAGUCAAACAGGGAAGAAGGUAAAACGUCUUCAAACUGAAUAACGGCUUGGAAAUUUGUUCUGCCGAGUUCAAUGAACUUUGCAAGGAAGAACACAUUACAAGGCAAUAUACGGUGAGAAAUACUCCACAAAAGAAUGGUGUUGCUGAGCGAAUGAAUAUAACUUUUUGGAAAGAGCUCGUUGUAUGUUUUCAAAUGCCGGGCUGAAUAGGAGUUUCCAAGCAGAGGCUAUAAGCACAAAAUGUUAUCUGGGUAAAUGUUCUCCCCGCCACUCUUGAUGCGACCAUUUGUACGUCCAAGGAGCCACAAGUUACCAUGACAAUCCAUUAAUCCAAUGUCACCUGUAUCAAACCAGACUUCACUCCUCUGAUUUGAUGUGUUUGUGAGGGUUUGAUCCCAAUACCUGAGCAUUAAAUGUGGCCCUCUAGUUAAAAUUCUCCCAGUGUCACCAUCUUUGCAUAUCUUUAGUUCUACAUGAGGUGCAGCCUUGCCAACACAAACACCUUGUGGUUGGUGAAUGAGAUGCUUGGAUUCUUCUUCACCAUAUGUUUGAAAAGGAUGGCUAAUGGUUUUUUGCAUUGGAUCAUACAGCGUUAGGAAUGUCAAUGAAGAACAUGCUUCUGUCAUCCCUUUGAUAAAUGAAAAUUGUUACUGAUUAUGAGACCAAAUGAACUUGCUACAUGUAAAAAUAUGACAACUUAAAUGUGUUAUUGUAACUUGUAAGUAUGUUUUUUCCAUUUAA